This 459-nucleotide ribosomal RNA is filed under the name uncultured bacterium. RNAcentral's name for it is "partial 16S ribosomal RNA". It matches the Rfam family "Bacterial small subunit ribosomal RNA", at positions 338 to 795 of the family's 1533-position model. The record is from RNAcentral.
CCUACGGUGAGCAGCAGUGAGGAAUAUUGGUCAAUGGCCGAGAGGCUGAACCAGCCAAGUCGCGUGAGGGAAGACGGCCCUACGGGUUGUAAACCUCUUUUGUCGGGGAGCAAAGCGAGUCACGUGUGACUCAUUGAGAGUACCCGAAGAAAAAGCAUCGGCUAACUCCGUGCCAGCAGCCGCGGUAAUACGGAGGAUGCGAGCGUUAUCCGGAUUUAUUGGGUUUAAAGGGUGCGCAGGCGGAGGUGCAAGUCAGCGGUCAAAUUGCGGGGCUCAACCCCGUACUGCCGUUGAAACUGCAUCCCUUGAGUGCGCGAGAAGUAGGCGGAAUGCGUGGUGUAGCGGUGAAAUGCAUAGAUAUUAGGAGGAACAUCAGGGGCGAAGGCGACUUACUGGACUGUAACUGACACUGAGGCACGAAAGCGUGGGGAGCAAACAGGAUUAGAUACCCCGGUAGUC